GACGAACGCUGGCGGCGUGCUUAACACAUGCAAGUCGAACGGAAAGGCCCUGCUUGCAGGGUACUCGAGUGGCGAACGGGUGAGUAACACGUGGGUGAUCUGCCCUGCACUUCGGGAUAAGCCUGGGAAACUGGGUCUAAUACCGGAUAGGAGCCAUUUUUAGUGUGAUGGUUGGAAAGUUUUUUCGGUGUAGGAUGAGCUCGCGGCCUAUCAGCUUGUUGGUGGGGUAAUGGCCUACCAAGGCGGCGACGGGUAGCCGGCCUGAGAGGGUGGACGGCCACAUUGGGACUGAGAUACGGCCCAGACGCCUACGGGAGGCAGCAGUGGGGAAUAUUGCACAAUGGGCGCAAGCCUGAUGCAGCGACGCCGCGUGGGGGAGGACGGCCUUCGGGUUGUAAACUCCUUUCGCUAGGGACGAAGCUUUUUGUGACGGUACCUAGAGAAGAAGCACCGGCUAACUACGUG
RNAcentral lists this ribosomal RNA (465 nucleotides) under uncultured bacterium. RNAcentral's name for it is "partial 16S ribosomal RNA". It matches the Rfam family "Bacterial small subunit ribosomal RNA", at positions 28 to 507 of the family's 1533-position model. The record is from RNAcentral.